RNAcentral lists this ribosomal RNA (253 nucleotides) under uncultured bacterium. Its description in RNAcentral is "partial 16S ribosomal RNA". It matches the Rfam family "Bacterial small subunit ribosomal RNA", at positions 524 to 776 of the family's 1533-position model. The record is from RNAcentral.
UACGUAGGGAGCAAGCGUUGUCCGGAAUCAUUGGGCGUAAAGCGCGCGUAGGCGGCUUCGUAAGUCCGUUGUGAAAGUCAAAGGCUCAACCUUUGAAAGCCGAUGGAUACUGCGGAGCUAGAGUACGGAAGAGGCGAGUGGAAUUCCGGGUGUAGCGGUGGAAUGCGUAGAGAUCCGGAAGAACACCGGUGGCGAAGGCGGCCUGCUGGGCAGUAGCUGACGCUGAAGCGCGACAGCGUGGGGAGCAAACAGG